UACGGGGGGAGCAAGCGUUGUUCGGAUUUACUGGGCGUAAAGGGCGCGUAGGCGGUCAGCACAAGUCAGUUGUGAAAUCUCCGGGCUUAACUCGGAAAGGUCAACUGAUACUGUGCGACUAGAGUGCAGAAGGGGCAACUGGAAUUCUCGGUGUAGAGGUGAAAUUCGUAGAUAUUCGGAAGAACACCAGUGGCGAAGGCGGCUCACUGGACUGGUAUUGACGCUGAGGUGCGAAAGCGUGGGGAGCAAACAGG
Molecule: ribosomal RNA, 254 nt
Filed under: uncultured bacterium
Lineage: Bacteria
Description: partial 16S ribosomal RNA
Rfam family: Bacterial small subunit ribosomal RNA
Source: RNAcentral